Non-coding RNA from Triticum aestivum (bread wheat), 135 nucleotides. The record is from Rfam. Lineage: Eukaryota; Viridiplantae; Streptophyta; Magnoliopsida; Poales; Poaceae.
AUUGUACUCCCUCCGUCCCAAAAUCGUUGUCUUAGAUUUGUCUAGAUAUAGAUGUAUCUAAUACUAAAACGUGACUUGAUACAUCCAUAUUUGGACAAAUCUAAGAUAAGAAUUUUGAUACGGAGAAAGUAGGAA